UCCCGGGUGGCUCAGAUGGUAAAGAAUCUGCCUGUAAUGCAGGAGACCUGGGUUUGAUUCCUGGGUUGGGAA
This 72-nucleotide transfer RNA is filed under the name Capra hircus (goat). It matches the Rfam family "tRNA". From Rfam's summary of the family: Transfer RNA (tRNA) molecules are approximately 80 nucleotides in length. Their secondary structure includes four short double-helical elements and three loops (D, anti-codon, and T loops). The record is from Rfam by way of RNAcentral. Lineage: Eukaryota; Metazoa; Chordata; Mammalia; Artiodactyla; Bovidae. RNAcentral also lists the same sequence under 1 other name.